AGUCAGAGGAGCGGCAUGCAUGAGUAUAUGUGCGGAGAUAGCCUUCAUCUGUGAAGCACAUAAAAAGGGCCGGCCGCCGAAGGGAAAUGUAAAAGGCCUUGCAUUUUGCCUGGUCUGUCCGCCGAAGAGGCGGCGGACUGUCAUCGUCAUGAUGGAGAGCUG
This 162-nucleotide non-coding RNA is filed under the name chicken gut metagenome. RNAcentral's name for it is "Lysine riboswitch". It matches the Rfam family "Lysine riboswitch aptamer". Rfam says of the family: Riboswitches are metabolite binding domains within certain messenger RNAs that serve as precision sensors for their corresponding targets. The record is from RNAcentral.